GGGUUGUGAGGUUAAGCGACUAAGCGUACACGGUGGAUGCCCUGGCAGUCAGAGGCGAUGAAGGACGUGCUAAUCUGCGAUAAGCGUCGGUAAGGUGAUAUGAACCGUUAUAACCGGCGAUUUCCGAAUGGGGAAACCCAGUGUGUUUCGACACACUAUCAUUAACUGAAUCCAUAGGUUAAUGAGGCGAACCGGGGGAACUGAAACAUCUAAGUACCCCGAGGAAAAGAAAUCAACCGAGAUUCCCCCAGUAGCGGCGAGCGAACGGGGAGCAGCCCAGAGCCUGAAUCAGUGUGUGUGUUAGUGGAAGCGUCUGGAAAGGCGCGCGAUACAGGGUGACAGCCCCGUACACAAAAAUGCACAUGCUGUGAGCUCGAUGAGUAGGGCGGGACACGUGGUAUCCUGUCUGAAUAUGGGGGGACCAUCCUCCAAGGCUAAAUACUCCUGACUGACCGAUAGUGAACCAGUACCGUGAGGGAAAGGCGAAAAGAACCCCGGCGAGGGGAGUGAAAAAGAACCUGAAACCGUGUACGUACAAGCAGUGGGAGCACGCUUAGGCGUGUGACUGCGUACCUUUUGUAUAAUGGGUCAGCGACUUAUAUUCUGUAGCAAGGUUAACCGAAUAGGGGAGCCGAAGGGAAACCGAGUCUUAACUGGGCGUUAAGUUGCAGGGUAUAGACCCGAAACCCGGUGAUCUAGCCAUGGGCAGGUUGAAGGUUGGGUAACACUAACUGGAGGACCGAACCGACUAAUGUUGAAAAAUUAGCGGAUGACUUGUGGCUGGGGGUGAAAGGCCAAUCAAACCGGGAGAUAGCUGGUUCUCCCCGAAAGCUAUUUAGGUAGCGCCUCGUGAAUUCAUCUCCGGGGGUAGAGCACUGUUUCGGCAAGGGGGUCAUCCCGACUUACCAACCCGAUGCAAACUGCGAAUACCGGAGAAUGUUAUCACGGGAGACACACGGCGGGUGCUAACGUCCGUCGUGAAGAGGGAAACAACCCAGACCGCCAGCUAAGGUCCCAAAGUCAUGGUUAAGUGGGAAACGAUGUGGGAAGGCCCAGACAGCCAGGAUGUUGGCUUAGAAGCAGCCAUCAUUUAAAGAAAGCGUAAUAGCUCACUGGUCGAGUCGGCCUGCGCGGAAGAUGUAACGGGGCUAAACCAUGCACCGAAGCUGCGGCAGCGACGCUGAUGCGUUGUUGGGUAGGGGAGCGUUCUGUAAGCCUGCGAAGGUGUGCUGUGAGGCAUGCUGGAGGUAUCAGAAGUGCGAAUGCUGACAUAAGUAACGAUAAAGCGGGUGAAAAGCCCGCUCGCCGGAAGACCAAGGGUUCCUGUCCAACGUUAAUCGGGGCAGGGUGAGUCGACCCCUAAGGCGAGGCCGAAAGGCGUAGUCGAUGGGAAACAGGUUAAUAUUCCUGUACUUGGUGUUACUGCGAAGGGGGGACGGAGAAGGCUAUGUUGGCCGGGCGACGGUUGUCCCGGUUUAAGCGUGUAGGCUGGUUUUCCAGGCAAAUCCGGAAAAUCAAGGCUGAGGCGUGAUGACGAGGCACUACGGUGCUGAAGCAACAAAUGCCCUGCUUCCAGGAAAAGCCUCUAAGCAUCAGGUAACAUCAAAUCGUACCCCAAACCGACACAGGUGGUCAGGUAGAGAAUACCAAGGCGCUUGAGAGAACUCGGGUGAAGGAACUAGGCAAAAUGGUGCCGUAACUUCGGGAGAAGGCACGCUGAUAUGUAGGUGAGGUCCCUCGCGGAUGGAGCUGAAAUCAGUCGAAGAUACCAGCUGGCUGCAACUGUUUAUUAAAAACACAGCACUGUGCAAACACGAAAGUGGACGUAUACGGUGUGACGCCUGCCCGGUGCCGGAAGGUUAAUUGAUGGGGUUAGCGCAAGCGAAGCUCUUGAUCGAAGCCCCGGUAAACGGCGGCCGUAACUAUAACGGUCCUAAGGUAGCGAAAUUCCUUGUCGGGUAAGUUCCGACCUGCACGAAUGGCGUAAUGAUGGCCAGGCUGUCUCCACCCGAGACUCAGUGAAAUUGAACUCGCUGUGAAGAUGCAGUGUACCCGCGGCAAGACGGAAAGACCCCGUGAACCUUUACUAUAGCUUGACACUGAACAUUGAGCCUUGAUGUGUAGGAUAGGUGGGAGGCUUAGAAGUGUGGACGCCAGUCUGCAUGGAGCCGACCUUGAAAUACCACCCUUUAAUGUUUGAUGUUCUAACGUUGACCCGUAAUCCGGGUUGCGGACAGUGUCUGGUGGGUAGUUUGACUGGGGCGGUCUCCUCCUAAAGAGUAACGGAGGAGCACGAAGGUUGGCUAAUCCUGGUCGGACAUCAGGAGGUUAGUGCAAUGGCAUAAGCCAGCUUGACUGCGAGCGUGACGGCGCGAGCAGGUGCGAAAGCAGGUCAUAGUGAUCCGGUGGUUCUGAAUGGAAGGGCCAUCGCUCAACGGAUAAAAGGUACUCCGGGGAUAACAGGCUGAUACCGCCCAAGAGUUCAUAUCGACGGCGGUGUUUGGCACCUCGAUGUCGGCUCAUCACAUCCUGGGGCUGAAGUAGGUCCCAAGGGUAUGGCUGUUCGCCAUUUAAAGUGGUACGCGAGCUGGGUUUAGAACGUCGUGAGACAGUUCGGUCCCUAUCUGCCGUGGGCGCUGGAGAACUGAGGGGGGCUGCUCCUAGUACGAGAGGACCGGAGUGGACGCAUCACUGGUGUUCGGGUUGUCAUGCCAAUGGCACUGCCCGGUAGCUAAAUGCGGAAGAGAUAAGUGCUGAAAGCAUCUAAGCACGAAACUUGCCCCGAGAUGAGUUCUCCCUGACCCUUUAAGGGUCCUGAAGGAACGUUGAAGACGACGACGUUGAUAGGCCGGGUGUGUAAGCGCAGCGAUGCGUUGAGCUAACCGGUACUAAUGAACCGUGAGGCUUAACCUUACAACGCCGAAG
Molecule: ribosomal RNA, 2925 nt
Filed under: Escherichia coli
Lineage: Bacteria; Pseudomonadati; Pseudomonadota; Gammaproteobacteria; Enterobacterales; Enterobacteriaceae
Description: partial 23S ribosomal RNA
Rfam family: Bacterial large subunit ribosomal RNA
Source: RNAcentral